This 1084-nucleotide long non-coding RNA is filed under the name Struthio camelus australis. RNAcentral describes it as "lncRNA (ENSSCUG00000010242.1)". The record is from RNAcentral. Lineage: Eukaryota; Metazoa; Chordata; Aves; Struthioniformes; Struthionidae.
GUUUGCUCUUGCUGGGAGCACCCCAGGUUGCUAUUUUCAGCUCAGGAUCCUAGAGGGAGUCCUGGCGGCAAGGCAUAGGGCUCUCGGUGGAGGCCGCGAGCGAGGUGCUGCUCACUUCGGCAGCGCAGGAAGCAGCACUGCUCAUCCAUUCCUCCCCUCUUCCUGUUCCACCCCCCCCCGCUCGUCAAGUGAUUGUCUGCGGUGGAGAUUUUUUUUGUUGAUGCACAAUAUCUGGGUGCUGCAUACAUGUGCAGUGCAAGAGAUAAAGAGCCAGUUUGGUCACCGACUUUCAUUCUGUGACACAUCCAGUAUAGAAAGCAAUUCAAACAGCAGGGAAACCACACCAAAACUAGCUACCCAAAGGUGCAGAGAUCCAGUGGAAGGAUGGGAAACUGCCUACCAAGAAUAAGGUGGAAAACAUGCAUCUGCAUCCGGAGAAAAAGAUACUCCCACAAGGAAACACAGACCUGCAGCUAUUCACCAAGAACUAUUGAGGAACAUCUUGAGGGAAAAGAUUAUGCUAAUACCAGUGAACUGUGGUAUUCUACUGUCAACCAUGAUGUAAAGCAUGAACCCUCUGUAGUUAAUACCAGUGACGGGACAGAAUACGCAACUGUCAGCAUGCCUAAGAAUAAGCGAACUAUCACCAGCUCUGAAGACAACAAUGAAUAUGAUUAUAUCCUGGUAAACUAGAAAGUGGCACUUUCUGCUGCCAAGACACCCUUUUGUUUGAAUAUAUAAGCUAGUAGUGUGCAGUCUUCCUAACCACCUUACCUGCUAUGUCAGAUCUUCAAGCAAACCGGAGAGCAUCUCUCUCACAUUACAAAGGUUACACACUAGGACAAAUCUGCCAGCUAUUUCCAAUGAGACAAAUUUGUCCAUUGAAAGGUGAUCACAGAAAAAGACAUGAGCAGAGUACAGGGCUCCACUUUAUAACUAAAAGAAGAAGAACCAGUGUAACUGCCAUUGCAAGAUAAUGUUUCUAUACAGCAAAUAAGGCUCUUCAUUAGUAGAAGAACUAGACUCUUACAGUGCUUUUAAAUGUUUUUUAAGGGAUCUAAUAAAACUGUCAGUGGAAAUCUCA